Long non-coding RNA from Callorhinchus milii (elephant shark), 1669 nucleotides. RefSeq lists it as uncharacterized. The record is from RefSeq and is a predicted model, not a curated record. The transcript has 2 exons. Lineage: Eukaryota; Metazoa; Chordata; Chondrichthyes; Chimaeriformes; Callorhinchidae.
GGGGGGGUGGAAGAGACUGUUUCCCCUUCCUCCGGUUCACACAUAGCAAGAGUGGGCAGGGUGGGGGUAGUUUCAGCCUCAGAGCAACACUUCACAUGAGGGGGGCGGCAGUGGAAUGGGAGAAGGCCGAAGAGUAUAACGUAAUGGGUCUCCAACACCUGUGGAACAUUACGCCAAGCAGAGUGUGGAGGAGCGGAGAGCGUGAGUGAGGAGGAAAGACUGGUCUGUGACUGACUGAGUGUGUGUUUCACUGUGUGUCUGACUGACUGACUGACUGACUGACUGACUGACCGGGGUCCUGGGUUGUGGCCGUGCCUUGUGCUCUGGGCUGGAUAUCAUCAUAUAUUGUAAGUUCACAAUUCAGACACUACAGUAUAGAUGAUGUACUACACAGGGCUACACAUCUCCAGCCGCACACAACGCAGCCCUGGGCUCCAGCGCUCAACCGUUAUCUGUGAUCGACAUUUAUCCAGGCUCUUGGUAGAUAAGCAGACAGUGUGGUUAAACGGACAUCACUCAGAAUGCACAUUGGCAUCAACUAAAACAUUGUUCCAUUGGGGAUACUUGUUGCUAUAUUGCCACACUUGACAGCUCCUGCUCUCUCCCUAUUUCUCUCUCGUUUUCUACUUCUAGAAUGUCUCUCACCCGCAGUGUAAAAUAUAAAACCCUUUUUGCUGAGCUGACAGUGUGCUGGCGAGGUGUGCUUAGUGUGCAUCGGAGCCUUUGCCGAUAUAUGGUCAUGUGGACAAAUUGCAAUUAGAAGACUGAGACUGGGGUGUAAUCAGGAACUGCUGCCUUCUGUUUAAAACCAUAAACUUCUGCAGAUAUUCUACAGAAAUCUUCCUUCACCAGGACCGACCUCUGCUCAAAAGAGAAGCUCACGAAGGGAAGUGGCGCACACACACACACACACACAAACAGCAACUGCUCUUUGUGCAGAACAUUCUGAGGAGGUUCUGAAAGCUUGACCGGGUUGUGUUAACCGUCCCAUCUCUCCGUCUGCUCUCUCUCUGCGUCUCCGCACUUGGAAUACCAGACCCAGCCGCCUCUGGGGGUGUCGAUCAAACCGUUACCAUUACUUGUAUAAGUACUGGUAAGGGUUACAUUGCUGCCUCCGAUCUCAUCACCACAAGCCGGGGAGCAAGAGAGAGAGGGAAGCGCUUUGGGUGGAAAUCCAGACCGUCAAGACUCUGGGGGGUGUCAAUCAAACCGUUACCAUUACUUGUAUUAAGUACUGGUAAGGGUUAUAUUGCUGCCUCCGAUCUCGUCACCACAAACCGGGAAGCGAGCGAGGAGACGCAAACGAGCAAGGGAGACCGGGAGGGCUUCAAGAUGAUUGUGGUUUGUACACACAGUCACGUAGACGGUCUCAUACACGGCCAAUCCCACCUCAGAGACUUCCUUAUCCUUAUUCACCUGACUGCGAGGUGAAAUUUCAAUGCUCUGCUCACCUCCUAAAGAACCCCACACACUGCGCAUUCCUGUGGCACACAAGAGCGUACACUCCCUACUCCUACCCACACACACACACACGUACUGUGACACAUCAACACACAUAACCCUGGACGCAUGUGUACUCACAACACAGCAAUGAUGAAACCUCUUCACUGACUGCGAGAUUGUGUCAUUCUUAUUAUUAAUAAAAGUGGCCUCAGUCACACCGAGUAUA